Non-coding RNA from Schistosoma curassoni, 44 nucleotides. The record is from Rfam. Lineage: Eukaryota; Metazoa; Platyhelminthes; Trematoda; Strigeidida; Schistosomatidae.
AUCCAGUUGACGAGUCUCAAAUAGGACGAAACGCACGUCUGGAU